AACGAACGCUGGCGGCAUGCCUAACACAUGCAAGUCGAACGAAGGCUUCGGCCUUAGUGGCGCACGGGUGCGUAACGCGUGGGAAUCUGCCCUUGGGUUCGGAAUAACUCAGAGAAAUUUGAGCUAAUACCGAAUGAUGUCGAGAGACCAAAGAUUUAUCGCCCAAGGAUGAGCCCGCGUAGGAUUAGCUUGUUGGUGAGGUAAAGGCUCACCAAGGCGACGAUCCUUAGCUGGUCUGAGAGGAUGAUCAGCCACACUGGGACUGAGACACGGCCCAGACUCCUACGGGAGGCAGCAGUGGGGAAUAUUGGACAAUGGGCGAAAGCCUGAUCCAGCAAUGCCGCGUGAGUGAUGAAGGCCUUAGGGUUGUAAAGCUCUUUUACCAGGGAUGAUAAUGACAGUACCUGGAGAAUAAGCUCCGGCUAACUCCGUGCCAGCAGCCGCGGUAAAGUCUGUACU
Molecule: ribosomal RNA, 459 nt
Filed under: uncultured bacterium
Lineage: Bacteria
Description: bacterial SSU rRNA
Rfam family: Bacterial small subunit ribosomal RNA
Source: RNAcentral